UAAGAUGAGUCUGAUGCUGAAUAAGCCUU
Molecule: non-coding RNA, 29 nt
Filed under: Rattus norvegicus (Norway rat)
Lineage: Eukaryota; Metazoa; Chordata; Mammalia; Rodentia; Muridae
Source: RNAcentral